This 503-nucleotide ribosomal RNA is filed under the name uncultured bacterium. RNAcentral's name for it is "partial 16S ribosomal RNA". It matches the Rfam family "Bacterial small subunit ribosomal RNA", at positions 30 to 523 of the family's 1533-position model. The record is from RNAcentral.
AUUGAACGCUGGCGGCAGGCUUAACACAUGCAAGUCGAGCGGGGUGAUGGUGCUUGCACUAUCACUUAGCGGCGGACGGGUGAGUAAUGCUUAGGAAUCUGCCUAUUAGUGGGGGACAACAUCUCGAAAGGGAUGCUAAUACUGCAUACGUCCUACGGGAGAAAUCAGGGGAGCACUUGUGACCUUGCGCUAAUAGAUGAGCCUAUGUAGGAUUAGCUAGUUGGUGGGGUAAAGGCCUACCAAGGCGACGAUCUGUAGCUGGUCUGAGAGGAUGAUCCGCCACACUGGGACUGAGACACGGCCCAGACUCCUACGGGAGGCAGCAGUGGGGAAUAUUGGACAAUGGGGGGAACCCUGAUCCAGCCAUGCCGCGGGUGUGAAGAAGGCCUUAUGGUUGUAAAGCACUUUAAGCGAGGAGGAGGCUCUUUCGGUUAAUACCCAAGAUGAGUGGACGUUACUCGCAGAAUAAGCACCGGCUAACUCUGUGCCAGCCGCCGCGGUAA